GUAACCACACCCCUUCUCCUGUUGAGGUGCUUUCCUGAUUAGCCGGCCCUGUAUUCCUAGCCUUCCCUCUGACGCUCGCCUUCGGUAUGUCCUUGUCCCUGCAUGUUCAGUGAGGAACCGUACUUCGCCGCUGACCUCGUCGUUCCAGUUGUAAAUGUUAAGCCUCAUCUGCUUAGCCAGUGAGACUCCGUGACCGUGAUGAAGGGCCUGAUCACAAAGGUGAUGCUGUUUUGUUUAGCCUGACAAUGCGUGUAUGAUCUAGCAUGCUCAUUACUCUGACGAACUGUUGUUUUCCAUGUCGGUCUGAUAUAUCUCUGUUGAGCUGGGUUUUCGUUUUCUUUGUUUGUCAUUUUCUUUUUGUCCUGGAACCGUGGCAUUGUACCAUCUCCUUGUCAACUCCAAUGGUGUAAUGCUUCUGUCUGGUGUGUUUCUGUUUGCAUGUGACUGUGGAAAAGGCUGGUGGUGCUGUAGCUUGUCCUGGUGCAUGUUUGUUAUUUGUACCGUCUGUAGUUAAUAUCUAUGAGUGAUUGCUAUUAUUGUCUAUGAGUGAUUCAUGUUUAUGAUUGACUGUUGGUAUCUCCUGGUGCAAUAAUUGUUUUAGUUUCAUUUAGCAGUUGCUGGGUGCUUCCAGAGGGAGGCUAGGCACCUGGUGGUGGGCCCCUGUCACUGUAUGCGGGUGUAUCAAGCUGGUUAGUGUGCAGUGUGCCGUGUUGGGCUGUGUGUGCAGUGUGCUGUGGGUUGCUUGCCAUGUAAUAGUUCACCUUACAACCACUUUGUGUGUGUGCGUGUGUGUGAGCGGUGUGGAUCCAAGAGCACGCCGUCUGCUAGUCUGCCUCCCUCAGGUAAGUCCUACUUAACACUGCCUAUACUGUAGUCUAGUGUUUCCCUGUUUUAGCCUUACUGGCAUAAAUACUAUCCAAUAAAUAUAU
This is a long non-coding RNA of Clupea harengus (Atlantic herring), 929 nucleotides long. RefSeq lists it as uncharacterized. The record is from RefSeq and is a predicted model, not a curated record. Lineage: Eukaryota; Metazoa; Chordata; Actinopteri; Clupeiformes; Clupeidae. The transcript has 3 exons.